GUAUUAUCCUCGUUGGAGCUUACCGCCAUAAAAGUAAUAAAUAAUCGGGCCACCGCGAAACGUCUCAUAAAAUGCCUUAUUGGAUUACGUAAAAUGUUUCUGACACUAUUAAUCGAAUACCAAAUAUUAGUCUGAACUCAACCUGCAUUAAACUGCGGAUAAACAUAUUUACGACGGAUAAAACGGCCGAUGAGCUCGACAUCGUUUCCGGCAUUGUAUUAUAUUGGCAUUGAAUUGGUCAAAAAUGAUCUUUCUAGAAGGAUUCCAUUUGCUUGUUUGAAAUUGUAAAUAUGAUAUGAUAUUCUUGAUGUUAUCAGAAGAAGAAUUGUAUUAAGACAUCUCUGUGUUUUAAAAUAAUAAUGAUAGUAAAUUAAAAAAAGUA
This is a long non-coding RNA of Armigeres subalbatus, 382 nucleotides long. RefSeq lists it as uncharacterized. The transcript has 2 exons. The record is from RefSeq and is a predicted model, not a curated record. Lineage: Eukaryota; Metazoa; Arthropoda; Insecta; Diptera; Culicidae.